Zea mays is the source of this 323-nucleotide long non-coding RNA. RefSeq lists it as uncharacterized. The record is from RefSeq and is a predicted model, not a curated record. Lineage: Eukaryota; Viridiplantae; Streptophyta; Magnoliopsida; Poales; Poaceae. The transcript is spliced from 3 exons.
UCGAGGACCUCCAUGACACCUACGUUGGUGUGGGUUGUGCCGCCUCAUCGUGACCGUCAUCGAUUGGGCCUCCGAGUCCAGGAGAAGACCUCCAAUGAAGAAAGAGACAUGCUGCACAUGCACGAGGGUACUUGCAGAUAGAUGUCGGCUCUACGGACGAACACUCGACCAAGUCAGAUGAGGAGUAUGAGGGCCUAGCCAUGCACGAUGUGAUGGCUACUGGUCCGACGAUGAGCAGCAAGCUGUGAGUUAAAGAUGAACUCACCUGCCCUGGAGAGCAACAUCCAUAGGAGUGAGGCAAAAUGGCUGGUACCACCACAACA